ACUCUAUAUAGGUGUUUUACCCGCGAAGUAACUUCGCGGAGUCAAUUCGUCAGCCUCCGGAGCGAGUUGUGUCUGAACAGCGCGCUCCGCUUCAAGCCUCGUUCCUGCUCAAGCCUUGUCCUUGUUUCCAGCCUUCGCUCCUGUUUCCCAGCCUUUGUUUACCUACGGACCUUGCCUUGUUUCCCAGGACUAAACCUUGCCUUGUUUCACGGAUUUUACCAAGUUAUUCCACGGACCUUGUUCUUGUUCCUCGUUACCUUGUUCCACGAUUCAAGCCUCGUUCCUGCUCAAGCCUUGCCUUGUUUCCAGCCUCCGCUCCUGUUUCCCAGCCUUUGUUUACCUACGGAUCUUGCCUUGUUCCCAGGACUAACCCUUGCCUUGUUUCACGGAUUUUACCAAGUUAUUCCACGGACCUUGUUCUUGUUCCUCGUUACCUUGUUCCACGAUUCAAGCCUUGUUUCAAGUAUCAAGUUAUUUCCUAGCCUUGCUCAAGUUCAUGGACUAAAGGACCUUGUCAUCUCCCCUCACUUUGCCUGGCAAAGUGAGUGUUUCGGUUAUUGGAUUACAACUUUGGACCUUAAUAUUUCAUAUUGGACAUUGUUUCUUUGGACUAAUUUUGACCUUUCCUGAAAGGUCUGCUUCUGGACUAACCUUUACAUUCGCUUUUAUUAACUUUAUAUAUUUCCUUAAUAAAGAUAUUAGAUAGAAUUUGGCCUCUGCGUAUGGUUAUUGGUGCUCUGUAGCCUGGGUCGUGACACACACACACACACACACACACACACACCCAGGAGGGGAGGGUUUCAGAGUGGCCUCACAACCGGCAAUCAUUAGAUGCCAAACACAACAAUUAUAAAACAAUUACAGUUAAAAGCAAAUAGUUAAAAUAUCAAUUAUAAAAACUUUGUUUCUUUUUGCUGAAAACUUCUGGACUGGUCAGCAACCACUCUGCUGUUCCUGCCUUCAACCUGCUAGAUGCCCUAUAUGAACUAGUCAGUACCUGGUUCCUGGGUUACCUGCUGACUGCGACACAAGAUAUUAAUGCUGUGUUGCUGUUCUUCCUUAUUUUUAAAAUUCCAAAAACAUUUUUGAAAUGUAUUGUGUGUUGCCUAUGAUUCUUAAUAUAUUAACUGUAUUUUUCCUCUGUUUAAAUGAAAGCAUGCGUGUGUGGAU
RNAcentral lists this long non-coding RNA (1170 nucleotides) under Anolis carolinensis (green anole). RNAcentral describes it as "lncRNA (ENSACAG00000034694.1)". Lineage: Eukaryota; Metazoa; Chordata; Lepidosauria; Squamata; Anolidae. The record is from RNAcentral.